CGCGUAGGCGGCCUGGGCAGUCCUGGGUGAAAGCCCCCGGCUCAACCGGGGAAGGGCCUGGGAAACCACUGGGCUGGAGUGCUGGAGAGGGAGGCGGAAUUCCUGGUGUAGCGGUGAGAUGCGUAGAGAUCAGGAGGAACAUCGGCGGCGAAGGCGGCCUUCUGGACAGACACUGACGCUGAGGCGCGAAAGCCGGGGGAGCAAACAG
RNAcentral lists this ribosomal RNA (208 nucleotides) under uncultured bacterium. RNAcentral's name for it is "partial 16S ribosomal RNA". It matches the Rfam family "Bacterial small subunit ribosomal RNA", at positions 568 to 775 of the family's 1533-position model. The record is from RNAcentral.